RNAcentral lists this ribosomal RNA (449 nucleotides) under uncultured bacterium. Its description in RNAcentral is "partial 16S ribosomal RNA". It matches the Rfam family "Bacterial small subunit ribosomal RNA", at positions 29 to 523 of the family's 1533-position model. The record is from RNAcentral.
AGCGAACGCUGGCGGCAAGCUUAACACAUGCAAGUCGAGCGCUGUAGCAAUACAGAGCGGCGGACGGGUGCGUAACACGUGGGAAUCUGCCUUUAGGUUUGGAAUAACUCAGGGAAACUUGAGCUAAUACCGUAUAAUGUCUUCGGACCAAAGAUUUAUCGCCUAAAGAUGAGCCCGCGGUAGAUUAGCUAGUUGGUGAGGUAAUGGCUCACCAAGGCUACGAUCUAUAGCUGGUCUAAGAGGAUGAUCAGCCACACUGGGACUGAGACACGGCCCAGACUCCUACGGGAGGCAGCAGUGGGGAAUAUUGGGCAAUGGGCGAAAGCCUGACCCAGCUAUGCCGCGUGAAUGAUGAAGGCCUUAGGGUUGUAAAGUUCUUUUACCAGGGACGAUGAUGACGGUACCUGGAGAAAAAGCCCCGGCAAACUUCGUGCCAGCCGCCGCGGUAA